Molecule: transfer RNA, 73 nt
Filed under: Apis mellifera (honey bee)
Lineage: Eukaryota; Metazoa; Arthropoda; Insecta; Hymenoptera; Apidae
Description: tRNA-Gly (GCC) (tRNA-Gly-GCC-3-1)
Rfam family: tRNA
About the family: Transfer RNA (tRNA) molecules are approximately 80 nucleotides in length.
Source: RNAcentral
GCCCUGGAUAGCUCAACGGUAAGAGCAGUCGCCUGCCAAGCGAAAGAUCCGGGUUCGAUUCCCGGUCCAGGCA